AGUCGAGCGGUAGAGAGUGCUUGCACUCUUGAGAGCGGCGGACGGGUGAGUAAUGCCUAGGAAUCUGCCUAGUGGUGGGGGAUAACGUUCGGAAACGGACGCUAAUACCGCAUACGUCCUACGGGAGAAAGCGGGGGCUCUUCGGACCUCGCGCCAUUAGAUGAGCCUAGGUCGGAUUAGCUAGUUGGUGAGGUAAUGGCUCACCAAGGCGACGAUCCGUAACUGGUCUGAGAGGAUGAUCAGUCACACUGGAACUGAGACACGGUCCAGACUCCUACGGGAGGCAGCAGUGGGGAAUAUUGGACAAUGGGCGCAAGCCUGAUCCAGCCAUGCCGCGUGUGUGAAGAAGGUCUUCGGAUUGUAAAGCACUUUAAGUUGGGAGGAAGGGCACUUGCUUAAUACGUAGGUGUUUUGACGUUACCGACAGAAUAAGCACCGGCUAACUCUGUGCCAGCAGCCGCGGUAAUACAGAGGGUGCAAGCGUUAAUCGGAAUUACUGGGCGUAAAGCGCGCGUAGGUGGUUUGUUAAGUUGAAUGUGAAAUCCCCGGGCUCAACCUGGGAACUGCAUCCAAAACUGGCAAGCUAGAGUAUGGUA
Molecule: ribosomal RNA, 596 nt
Filed under: bacterium 86-L049393-122-001-F11
Lineage: Bacteria
Description: bacterial SSU rRNA
Rfam family: Bacterial small subunit ribosomal RNA
Source: RNAcentral